UUGUCCAUCCGCAGCUUCGGCUUUUCCAGUCUGGUGGCCCUUCCGGCCACCUCUUUAACCCUAGCUUUCCCUCCCCCUUUUUUCGGUCAGAGAUCGGCGGAGACCCUCGAAGUGCGCAAACUUGACACUCACCCUGACCGGACUGGGGUUUUAAGGGGUGUGGCAGGAGGUUUUGGACUCGAUGAGUUUCCACCGAAAUGUCGGAGAAGUCAGGCCAGAGCACAAAAGCAAAGGAUGGGAAAAAGUAUGCAACACUCAGUUUAUUUAAUACUUACAAGGGGAAAUCAUUAGAAACACAGAAAACCACAGCUCGACAUGGAUUACAGAGUCUUGGAAAAGUCGGUAUUUCACGGCGUAUGCCUCCACCUGCUAACCUCCCAAGUCUUAAAGCAGAAAACAAAGGCAAUGAUCCUAAUGUAAACAUUGUACCUAAAGAUGGCACAGGGUGGGCAUCAAAACAAGAGCAACAUGAAGAAGAAAAAACACCAGAAGUGCCACCAGCACAGCCAAAACCUGGGGUUGCAGCUCCCCCAGAAGUAGCACCUGCUCCCAAAUCAUGGGCCAGUAACAAGCAAGGUGGGCAAGGAGAUGGAAUCCAAGUGAAUAGUCAGUUUCAGCAAGAAUUUCCCAGCCUGCAGGCAGCUGGGGAUCAGGAAAAAAAAGAAAAGGAAACAAAUGAUGACAACUAUGGACCUGGACCCAGUUUACGUCCACCAA
Molecule: small RNA, 717 nt
Filed under: Pan troglodytes (chimpanzee)
Lineage: Eukaryota; Metazoa; Chordata; Mammalia; Primates; Hominidae
Description: processed transcript
Source: RNAcentral